GCCCACAGCUUUCCCAACAAGACAUGGAAACUGAAGAAGUCUGUGUGCAAAAACAAAAUGAGGGGGUGGGGCUCACUCUUCCUGCACAUGCGCAGAUCGACACAACCUCGUGGGACAAAGAAACACACCAGAGGAGAUUUUCGCUGUGAGGCCCCGGUGAUAGUGAAUUGCGAGUCAGAGGUGCCGGGUCUCUCUGGUAUCUUCCUCUACCCAGGAGAGAACAUCACAGUCACUUGUAAUAGAGGUUUUUACCUGAAGAACGGCCUCUCCAUUACACACUGUCAGACUAAUGGAUCCUGGAGUAUGCUACCUGUAUGCAAACGUUGUCAAGGUAUCAAGAACUGUAGAAGUACAAUGUGUACUAAGCGAGCUAACACUGUCUGCCUGGAAUGUCUUGGAUCAUAUACCAACCAAGUGCCUCAGGGAAGGAAUGUUACGUCGCACACCCUCCUCGUUCGUAUGGACUGGGAACAGAGCCACAAUCUCAUGCGCAGCAUCGGGAAGUCAGCCAUUCCUGUACUGAGGUUUUUCUUAAAUCUCACAGAGGAACUAAACUCAAUCAGUACUAUGAUCGACGAGACUACACGUACUUUGAACCUGACCACUGAGGUGACGGGGGAGUACAGAUGCGUGGCCAGCAAUGUGGUAGGCAACACGACGUGGCUAGUCAUAGUAGGUAAGCAUUGCAAGAGGUCAUGUACCCUAUACACAAGCUAGAGGUCAUGUACCCUACAGCGGGUUGUUUUUGUGUGGUGGAAUUUUUCAUAUUUAGAAUUAAAAAUUUAAAACUAUCGCUAUAAUUUUGUAGCUCUUUGAAAGGCCUAUACCAUAUUACUAGAAUGUUUUGCGAGCAUCAAAUAUUUGCGAACUUUGCGAUGGUCGAUCAAUAAUUAUUCGCAACAAUAUAAUCUGCAAAACCUAAAUUAUUACUAGUAAAUACACACGAUCCUUGCCAGAACGCAAUAGUUAGAUCACCGCAAAGAGUAAAUUUUUUGGCUCAUUCACAAAGGUUUUUCACCAGCAAAAUAUUCUAGUAAUACGGUAUCUAUUAGUGGUUGCUUACUGGUAAAUGUAUACUGGCCUAUAAUUUUCAAAAUGGGCUUAUUUUGAUGGCUAACUUGUACCCUUGAUGUCUAGAGAUAAUUAUCUAUUUAGAGGUGCUGUACCUGUUCUCUCAUGUGUCUUAAGGGUGCUGGCCCAUAGUAAUAAAUUGAUAACAUUUAACCACAAGAAUGCAGAUAGUAUGGCUGCAAUAAUUGCACAGGCGCAAUGUUUACAAUCACUGCGUGUGCGUUAUCUCAUUAGUUGUGGCUGCGCUCAUGUACAUUGUACUACCAUACUUACCACAUGGUGCAGCUGUAAUCAAAUUAUAGCUAGCUAGAGUAUGUCUUCCAGGAAGCGCCUAAUGCAACUAGAGGCUUCCAGAGAGGCCAAAAAAAUGAAGAACUCAGAAGGUCAUAUAAAUACAACAAUAAUAUAAAUAAAAUCAUAAUUAUGUAAAUGCAUAGAUGAUGACAAUACGUUCAGCAUGCCAAGUGUUGGGGUGCAAACGGAGCAUGAGCUUGUCUGCCACGGUGCGGCGUGCAGACAGCAGAAGUAAGCACGGAUGACAAGAGCAUCCAGUUUCCUGAGCCCCAAUCAGCAGAUGUCAUAAUAGAUGCUCUCUCACGUCUUUCUGAAGCAGCACAGCAGGCAGGGUAUUCUCUUGACUCUGAGAGCCUAUCAUCUUUCGUAUCUAACGGGAGUGUGUCUCUUCAAUCGGUGGGUACUUUCCAAAUGCACAACUCCAGCUGUUCCUGGACGCAAUAUUAUCCUGUGUUAACAUUUCUAAUUAACGGUUAUUUGCACGCGGAUUACCUGCGAUUGUGUGGUUCUUUGGGUCUCCCAUCCUGUUACAGCACUCAGUGGCACAGAAUAGUUACUAAACUUGAAAUUCACGUCACUAAGUUGGCAGAGUGGUCCUGUGAUCAUGUACAACAACAGAUAGUGAGCAGGGGUGAUGACCAGAAAUGGAUUGCAUCCUAUGAUGGUUUCUACCAGACCCGGGGCCACUAUUCUAACAACAGCUCGGCUACACUACACGAUCACGAUAGUGGUUGUAUUGCGUGGUUUGCUCACCGGACGAAACGUGGUCCAGGACACAACUGGGAGGGUACGUCAGGAGGUGCUGAAGCUGAUAUGUUCAAUGAGAUUCUGAGAAAGGGUCAAGGCUGCUGGCUUUAUCCUCCGAGAAGUGAUCACAGAUAAGGAUUCUUCAAUGAACAGUAUCUACUGCCGUCACUUCCCAGAAGGAACAAUCACUUACUGUUCAAACCACUGCGCCAAAACUCUGCACAUAAAUUUGCAAAAAAUUAAGCAGAGAAAGUGUGAGUGUAGAGUAACCGGCUUUAGGUGUAAGCGGAUGAUAGACUCCUUCCUGAGCUGUUGCAAGGCAGCACUGAGCAACUUGAUUGCUUCCGAUAAAACCCAGGGUGAUGAAAAUGCAUUCGUCCGCUUUUCGGAGGCUCUGGUCAACUUCCAUCAUCACUAUAGCCUAGACAUCCAUACCUCUCCCUGGUGCACUCACGACAAGCUGAUGGAGGAUGGUAGUCCAUAUAAGAGCAGGCACAGGUUCACUUGUCAAGCUCAGGUGGAGGGCUUCAAGAAGCUACUUGACGAGAUGGCUGCAUAUCUAUGUAUCGGAACGUGGGAGGUUGACAACCAACACAGUGGAAGGGUUUCACGGACUGGCUCUUAUCUACAGGGAUAAGAAAAGUGACCUGGGCCAUGUACACUAUACUUGUAAUACUAACAUGGCUAUUUGUCACAAGAACCUUGGCCCUGUGUGGAAGCUCUUCUGUCUGGUUGAUAUUGGAGUGGACAUACCAACCCAAACAGUCACAAGCAUCUUAGCUGAGCAACAGGAGUGGGAAUCUGACCGCUGCCAAAGAUUCUCCAAAGAUCAUCUCAAAAAGAGGAAUCUCCAGAAGAAGGCCAGAAAGGUACACCACGAGCAGGAGAAAUCCUACAUGCAGACUCUGCGUGGGAUGGGGAGCGCUGUGGGAGAGUACAUGGGUGGUGGGCAUGGGGAGUCAUCGACAGCAGACACACAACCUACCUCCGUUGAUAUUGACGUUGAUGAUGCUGAACCGGAACUUGAUGACCAGGUGGAGAAUGACGAAGGGGUUAGCAGUGAAAACGCAAAUCCUCUUCUGAUUUUCUACGACUGCGAGACAACCGGUUUCAGCAUCUACAACGAUCAUAUCACUGACGUAGCUGCCAAAAUCGUGUCUCCUCCUGUCCCUGUAGAGCAACAUCCCGCCGCAUACCACCAGCUGUUACAAGGGUCACAGGCAUCACCACCACUAUGCUUCGAGGCAAGAAACCUCUCUCAGCAGUGCUCCCUUGUUUUAUUGACUGGCUGAUCUCUACAACCAAGCAAGUCAGCGAUAAAACAAGCACUCUCCAUUACCCAGUUCUCGUGGCACACAAUGGAUUCUCCUUUGACUUCCCAAUGCUUUUGGCUGAGGUUGAGCGCCGUCCGGAGAGUCUGUCCACCAGUGUGCUCGAACACGCUAACGUCCAUAUAUGGUCUAGAUUUUUCUAAACUGGGUGUGUCACAGCAAAAAAUGCAUGAACUCCAUCCUAGUGUACGUGAGUCACGAGGUGUUCCAGGAUUACUUCCCCUUCAGCUGGCCUCACCAAACAGACACACACCUCAUCUUCCUCUCCGCUAACCUCGUGGGCACAGGGCUAUGGAUGCUCAUAGUUUACUACUGCUACUAUAUUGAGUUCUUUGUCAAAAUAUAACUCUCAGAAUGUUUGCGUAUGUGAACUCAUGUUCAGUAAGAUUAUCCCUUUUUGCUUGUGAUGCACACGCAGUUGCUUGCUGUCAUGACUUGUAUGUUCACUG
Halichondria panicea is the source of this 3892-nucleotide RNA transcript. RefSeq lists it as uncharacterized. The record is from RefSeq and is a predicted model, not a curated record. The transcript has 11 exons. Lineage: Eukaryota; Metazoa; Porifera; Demospongiae; Suberitida; Halichondriidae.